UCCCGCACUCGCGCAUCCCAGCUCCUCCCCUACGCCGCCUCCUCCCAUUCCCUAACCCUAGCUGCUGCCCACACCGCCGCCGUCUCCGUCGCCUAGCCGGCCACCGCGCACGCUCCCUGCCACGCCGCCGCCUCUGCUCGCCUUCGCAACCCCGCAGCAUCUCCUCCCCACCCCCUCGGCACUCAGCAGGAGGAGCGCGGGCGCGGCUCGCGACGGCCCUCACGAGAGAGGUCUCUGCUCUCGGUCAACUCUACCCGCCUCCAUCACCACCCAUCGGCAGGAGGCCCCCGCCACUCCUCCUUCUGCUCCAUCGCGUGGCCAUCACCGAGGCCUCGCCGCGGUCUUGAGGCUGCGAUCCCGUAUGGGGCAGGACGACACCACGCUUGGUGGUGUGAGAUGGCUGCAAAUGCAGAGCACUUCCGAUCUCAUAAGGCAGCAAUCUUCCUGUUCUGUUCUACGCUUGAGUUUGUAUAGGAUACUGUGAUUGGAAACUGCUGGAUCUUGGGUCCCAACUGCAGGAAAUGAUUCCAGAGAAAUAGACUGAGCAGGCAGGAGGAGAAAGUAGAGAGGGAGAUGGGGGAGGGAGAGGAGAUCUCGGCCUGCACAUUGCGUCUCCCACAAGCUACUGCAAAGGGAGAAUUGUAUACCCAACAUCCUUUUCAAAGCCUACAGCAACUGCCUCCCCAACCAAUGCCAACCUGCGGCACCAAGGUCGAUGGUGGAGCUGUGUUCUAAAGUUGGAGUGUGCCCUUUCUUUGGUGCCAUCGUUCUCUCCUUCAUGACCGUCGUCGUCAUGAGCCCAAGUAUCUUUGCUGGGUAUCGUCGGCAUUGGUGGACCUAAUAGGUCCGUCAUACAUCUCCUCUGCUUUUUUCGAUAUGGUCAGAUAGGGUUUGUACAUCUACAUUUUUACUAUCAUAUAUGUUACCUGUGGUAUUGCCGUUCACCUGACAAUCAUUGACAUCAUAUGGUUGUUCUGUGCUUCGUGGUGUUACUAAAAUCUUUAGGAUGCCCUCACUGGUCAGCAUGGUUAGCUUCAGAUACAUAUUAUAGAAAGUCUAGGUACCCUGAUAACUUUGCCCUUUUAUGCUAUUUUUGUUAAGUGGUGGUGGUAAAGAACUGGGAUUAUCUUUGCCAUGUGCGACCAGCUAAAGGCAGCAAGUUCAGUAAUCGUUCCUCUGUAAUGAUAAUAUUCUUAGAUUAUUUCAGUCUUAUUGGUUUGGAGUGUGCCACUUCUUAGUUUUUUUUUAAUUUGAUGCCACUUCAGUAAAUUAAACAAUGACAUCUCCAAUGCAUAUGCUACUUCUUUACUUCAAACUAUAGCAUGUGUUUUUAGUUUCAUCGAUUUUGAAUUAUGAGAGUCACUCACUCACUCACCAAUUCUGCUUGAUCCCUUACUCCUUGGCGCUCAGCAGGAAGAGCUCAGGCUGCCACCACACAAAUGGAUUUGUGGUGUUUCAAGUUAUGGCCAAUUAGCCUUGGUUUGGGAAAAUAAUAAGUACUGAUUAUGAUUAAUGACGCAUGAUAAAGUUUGUUACAAGUGUGUCCCUUUCUUCCUGUGUAUAUUUCAAAGUGGUACAAUGCAGCAUGCCAGCAUUUAUUUUUUUAUCAUCCUUUAGGAAGGAAGAAUUGCCUGCAUUCAGUUUUUUUUAUCAUCCUUUAGCUGGGAAGAAUUGUCUGGUUUCAAGGUUCCCUAUAUGCAUGCCAAGAAAAUGUUUAUGGAGCUAACUUCUAUGUUGUCAAAUGCAGAGUGACAGUUACCAAAUCAUAGUUUAUAUGUA
This is a long non-coding RNA of Aegilops tauschii subsp. strangulata, 1779 nucleotides long. RefSeq lists it as uncharacterized. Lineage: Eukaryota; Viridiplantae; Streptophyta; Magnoliopsida; Poales; Poaceae. The record is from RefSeq and is a predicted model, not a curated record.